AGGGCAAUCGGUGGAUGCCUUGGCACCAAGAGCCGAUGAAGGACGUUGUAACCUGCGAUAAGCCACGGGGAGUUGGUAAACGAGCUUUGAUCCGUGGAUGUCCGAAUAGGGAAACCUUGAAAGGAACCGGAGUAAUGUCCGGCGACCCCCGUCUGAAUGUAUAGGACGGUGGGAGGGAACGUGGGGAAGUGAAACAUCUCAGUACCCAUAGGAAAAGAAAACAACCGUGAUUCCGUAAGUAGUGGCGAGCGAACGCGGAACAGGCCAAACCACCAGCAUGUGAUAGCUGACAGGUGUUGUGUUGGUGGUGUUGUGGGGCCUCUCGGACCGGGCUGUCGACUGGUCGAAGAGUUAUAAAUGGUCGUUGAAGUCGAAGUGUAUGGAAAGACACAGUAUAGAAGGUAAGACUCCUGUAGGCGUAAGCCGGCCACUCUUGAGGGUCACCCCAAGUAACACGGAACCCCUGAAAUUCCGUGUGAAUCUGGCGGGACCACCCGUUAAGCCUAAAUACUCCUUGGUGACCGAUAGCGGAUGAGUACCGUGAGGGAAAGGUGAAAAGUACCCCGGGAGGGGAGUGAAAUAGUACCUGAAACCGUUUGCCUACAAUCCGUCGGAGCCUUCGUUUUGUUGCGGGGGUGACGGCGUGCCUUUUGAAGAAUGAGCCUGCGAGUUAGUGGUGCGUGGCGAGGUUAACCCGUGUGGGGUAGCCGUAGCGAAAGCGAGUCCGAAUAGGGCGUUUCAGUCGCGUGCUCUAGACCCGAAGCGACGUGAUCUAUCCAUGGCCAGGUUGAAGCGACGGUAAGACGUCGUGGAGGACCGAACCCACCUGGGUUGAAAACCGGGGGGAUGAGCUGUGGAUAGGGGUGAAAGGCCAAUCAAACGUCGUAAUAGCUGGUUCUCCCCGAAAUGCAUAUAGGUGCAGCGUCGCGUGUUUCUUGCCGGAGGUAGAGCACUGGAUGGUCGAGGGGGCCCACAAGCUUACCAACAUCAGCCAAACUCCGAAUGCCGGCAAGUUAGAGCGUGGCAGUGAGACGGCGGGCGAUAAGGUUCGUCGUCGAGAGGGAAACAGCCCAGAUCAUCAGCUAAGGCCCCUAAGCGAUAACUAAGUGGAAAAGGAUGUGGAGUUGCGCAGACAACCAGGAGGUUGGCUUGGAAGCAGCCAUCCUUGAAAGAGUGCGUAAUAGCUCACUGGUCAAGUGAUUCCGCGCCGACAAUGUAGCGGGGCUCAAGUUAUCCGCCGAAGCUAUGGCAUUCACAUUUUUGCCCGGCCCUUCGUGGGUCUAGGUGUGUGGAUGGGUAGGGGAGCGUCGUAUGCGCUGUGAAGCGGCGGGGUGACCCAGCCGUGGAGAGUAUACGAGUGAGAAUGCAGGCAUGAGUAGCGAAUGACGGGUGAGAAACCCGUCCGCCGAAUAUCCAAGGGUUCCAGGGUCAAGCUAAUCUGCCCUGGGUGAGUCGGGACCUAAGGCGAGGCCGACAGGCGUAGUCGAUGGACAACGGGUUGAUAUUCCCGUACCGGCUUGGUGACGCCCCUGCCGAGGCGUGUGAUGCUAAGGACGCGAGCUGGGCUCAGCGGGUCUUUUUGGUCCGCGGGUCUGGUGAGUCUCCGAUCCGAACUCGUAUUAGGCAAGCUACGGAGGGACGCAGGAAGGUAGCCCAUCCCGGGCGAUGGUUGUCCCGGGGUAAGCGUGUAGGACGCGGUGGUGAGAACACCGCAUUCAAGUCUGAGGCGUGAUGCCUGGCAGGCCCACGGGCCUGCGAGUGGGUGAUCCUAUGCUGCCUAGAAAAUCUUCGUUAGCGAGUCAUCCGGCCGCCCGUACCCCAAACCGACACAGGUGGAUGAGUAGAGAAUACUAAGGCGAUCGAGAGAACCAUGGUGAAGGAACUCGGCAAAAUACCCCCGUAACUUCGGGAUAAGGGGGACCUGAGACGUGUAUGACAUACAUUGAGCGUCGAGGGUCGCAGAGACCAGGCCCAAGCGACUGUUUACCAAAAACACAGGUCCGGCCCAAGCGACUGUUUACCAAAAACACAGGUCCGUGCCAAGUUGAAAGACGAUGUAUACGGACUGACUCCUGCCCGGUGCUGGAAGGUUAAGGGGAAGCGUCAGCCGAAAGGCGAAGCGCCGAACUUAGCGGUGGUAACUAUAACCAUCCUAAGGUAGCGAAAUUCCUUGUCGGGUAAGUUCCGACCUGCACGAAUGGAGUAACGAUUUGGGCGCUGUCUCCACCAUGAACUCGGCGAAAUUGCAGUACGAGUAAAGAUGCUCGUUAAGCGCAGCAGGACGGAAAGACCCCGGGACCUUUACUAUAGUUUGGUAUUGGUGAUCGGUACGACUUGUGUAGGAUAGGUGGGAGACUGUGAAGCAUUCACGCCAGUGGGUGUGGAGUCAUCGUUGAAAUACCACUCUGGUCGUUCUGGUUAUCUAACCUAGGUCCAUUAUCUGGAUCAGGGACAGUGCCUGAUGGGUAGUUUGACUGGGGCGGUCGCCUCCCAAAAGGUAACGGAGGCGCCCAAAGGUUCCCUCAGCCUGGUUGGCAAUCAGGUGUUGAGUGUAAAUGCACAAGGGAGCUUGACUGUGAGAGCGACGGCUCGAGCAGGUGCGAAAGCAGGGAUUAGUGAUCUGACGGUGGCAUGUGGAAGCGCCGUCACUCAACGGAUAAAAGGUACCCCGGGGAUAACAGGCUGAUCUUGCCCGAGCGUCCAUAGCGACGGCAUGGUUUGGCACCUCGAUGUCGGCUCGUCGCAUCCUGGGGCUGGAGUCGGUCCCAAGGGUUGGGCUGUUCGCCCAUUAAAGCGGCACGCGAGCUGGGUUCAGAACGUCGUGAGACAGUUCGGUCCCUAUCCGCUGCGCUCGUAGGAAUCUUGAGAAGGGCUGUCCUUAGUACGAGAGGACCGGGACGGACUAACCUCUGGUGUGCCAGUUGUUCUGCCAAGAGCACGGCUGGUUGGCUACGUUGGGGAGUGAUAACCGCUGAAAGCAUCUAAGCGGGAAGCAUGCUUCAAGAUGAGGGUUCCCACAGUGU
Molecule: ribosomal RNA, 3023 nt
Filed under: termite gut metagenome
Description: bacterial LSU rRNA
Rfam family: Bacterial large subunit ribosomal RNA
Source: RNAcentral